CCUGCAUGGGCAUCUUCCCCACAGCUGCAACUGUCCCUCUGCCGGCCCUGCUGCUGCCUUCUGGAAUGUGGGCCCCAGGAGAGGAAGCCUGUCCCCGGGCACCUGCAGAAGCAGCUCUUCCUCUGGGCUGCUGUGGGCUGCUGGGCUCCAGGGUCCUGCCCCAGCACUCAGGCCACCUCCUCUCAGUGACUUAAGAGUUUGAACUGGAUCUGAAGACCAACUACACUGUAAAGCAUUCAAAAGAAGAUGACAUUAAAGAGAAGACUUCCAAGAGCAUAGAAUUACACUACUAAGGUAAGCAUUUUUAGAAACAGAUAUUAAGUUGGAAAUAUCCUAAGAAGAUUGAAUUAAAAUGCAAUAUUCCCACAUCUUGGCCGUAUUAAGUAAGUCAUGUCGGCCACUGCAAAAACAAACCCCAAAUGUCCAUGGCUUAACAUAAUAAAGGUUUAUUUCCUCUUCAAGUCUCAGGUCCAUGGGGCGUCCCAUGGCCGCCUCCCACAUGGUCAUUCAGGGACCCAGGUUCCUUCCAUCUACUGGUUCUGCCGUCUUCUAGGGCCUUAGAGCCUUUGCUUCUGCCAGAGGAAGGGACAAGGGGGACCCUGGGAGGAGAGGUUUUGGGGACCAGCCUGGAAAUGGUGCCCUCACUUCUGCUCGGAUGACCUUGGGCAGCACAAUCACAGGUCUCCACCCAACAGCCUGGUCGGGUGGUUGGGAAAUGCGGUCUAGCCAUAGGUCCAGCCUUCUCUGCCACAAUGGCAUUUAAGACAUAAAUAAAUAAAACCCAGCUGGAAUGAGUGAAAAAAGAAAUUGCCGACACCUGUGGUGUCCCCUCUGCGCCAGACUUUGUCCUUAAUCUGUAGAUACCCAUCCUCACUAUAGCCCUGUUUAGACACCAGUAUCAGCACUACUUUCAGAAGCAGGAAAUUGAAACCAGGAGAGGUUCAUUAAGUUGCUGAAGAAGGGAGUCUACUGGCCAGGCCCUGUGGCUCAUGCCUAUAAUCCUAGCACUUUGGGAGGCUGAGGUGAGAGGACUGCUGGAAGGCCAGGAGCUCGAGACCAGCAUGGGCAACACAGCAAGACCUCAUAUGGAUUAAAAAAAAAAAAACAACAGGCCAGGCACGGUGGCUCAAGCCUGUAAUCCCAGCAUUUUGGGAGGCUGAGACGGGAGGAUCACGAGGUCAGGAGAUUGAGACCAUCCUGGCGAACAUGGUGAAACCCCGCCUUUACUAAAAAAUACAAGAAAACUAGCCAGGCGAGGUGGCGGGCGCCUGUAGUCCCAGCUACUUGGGAGGCUGAGGCAGGAGAAUGGCGUGAACCCGGGAGGCUGAGCUUACAGUGAGCUGAGAUCCGGCCACUGCACUCCAGCCUGGGCUACAGAGCGAGACUCCGUCUCAAAAACAAAAAAAACAAAAAACAAACAAACAAAAAACAAAAAACAACAAACAAACAAACGAAAAAAGGAAAGAGAAGGAAGAAAGAAAGUUUAAAGAAAGAAAGGGUCCAAAGUGGGCUGAUUUUUAGGGAAUGGAAGGAAAGGAGGGAGGGAGGGAGAGAGGGAGGGAGGGAGGAAGGAAGGAAGGAAGGAAGGAAGGAAGGAAGGAAGGAAGGAAGGAAGGAAGGAAGGGAAAAAGAAACAGUCAAAAGUGGGCUGAUUUUUAGGAGUCCUGCACACUUAUUCAUUAUUUUGAUUUAAGCCAACAGUCAUUCUGAGCUCACACUGUGGUGUGCCAGGCGCUGUUGUGUAGGGUGGUGCAGGGUGAUUGGCUCCCCCAAGCAUAGCCAUCGGGUGUGACCCAGGAGUUAAGAGGGGGUGACUGUUGUCUCCCAUGUCCUCCAGAUUCUUCUUAUGGCCUCUAUUCGCCUCACAAACCUAAGGAUGUGCACCGAUGCCUUUAAGAAAAAAAGUGCAUUGUUAUUGGAAAGACAAAAUUGGCCUGCAGGUUUCCUAUGACCCACCACGGGUGUUUGUAUAUAAAACAGAGCACGGGCCUGGGGGGUGGCCAGGGGCUGGGCUGCACACAGAGGCCCACUGUCAGCCAGGGCUGAGGCUCCAGUUUCAGGACUGAGUCUCUGGCACAGAGUGGAUGGAGACUGGGCGGGAGGACAUGGCUCCUAUGUGACAUAGCUGUGGCAUCUUGGCUGAAUUUCAGCCAGACUCCAAGUCACGCAGGCCUAGAGAAUCAAGGCUGCAAGGAACCCUGGAUAUUCAGGCCUGUGGUCUUCAAACUUGCCACACCAAACCCUCUUUGAAGGAAACAGAAUGGAGCAGCACAUUCAGAACCAAGAGCUGCUCUGAAGGGCCAGAUUGGCAUGGGCGGAGCUGAGGACCCAGGGCUGCGUGGGCCACGGUGGGAAAGCUCAGAGCUGCUCUAACCUCUUCUGCUGCAGCUGCUGGGGAAAUUGAGGUCCACAGAAAGGAAGCAACAUGCCUAAGGGGACCCAGUGACUUGGUGGCCCAUCAGGCUAAGAAGGAACCCAUCAGAUGUCACUGGAAGUAGUGGGUCCCAGCUUACCCUUACUUUGCUUUUUUUUUUUUUUUUUUUUGAGACAGAGUCUUACUCUGUCACCCAGGCUGGAGUGCAGUGGUGCAAUCUCAGCUCACUGCAACCUCUGCCUCCUGAGUUCAAGCAAUUCUCCUGCCUCAGCCUCCUGAAUAGCCAGGACUACAGGCGCACGCCACCAUGCCCGGCUAAUUUUUGUGUUUUUAGUAGUGACAGGGUUUCACCAUGUUGGCCAGGCUGGUCUCAAACUCUUGACCUCGUGAUCUGCCCACCUCGGCCUCCCAAAGUGCUGGGAUUAUAAGCGUGAGCCACUGUGCCCAGCCUUUUUUUUAAAAAAAAAAAUUUAAGACAGAGUCUCACUCUGUCACCCAGGCUGCAGUGCCAUGGCACAACUUGGCUCACUGCAACCUUUGCCUCCUGGGUUCAAGUAAUUCUCCUGCCUCAGCUGCCCAAGUGGCUGGGACUAUAGGCAUGUGCCACCAUGCCUGGCACAUUUUUGUAUUUUUUGUAGAGCUGGAGUUUCACCAUGUUGCCAGGCUGGUCUUGAACUCCUGGACUCAAGUAAUCUGUCCACCUCAGCCUCCCAAAGUGCUGGGACUAUAGGUGCGAGUCGCUGCGUCUGGCCCUUACCCAUAGUUCUGUCUAACUUGGCCAUAAAAUGCGGGUUCCCACCAUUCCCUCCUCAAGUUCACUAAUUUGCUAUUAUGGUUCACAGAACUCAGAGAAGCUUAGAUUUACUAGUUGAUCCUCUGAUAAAGGGUAUGAUAAUGGACACAGAUCACAGCCAGAUUUUAAAAAGUACAUAAAGCAAGGCCCAGAAUGGUCCCGAGGGCAGGAUCUUCUGUCCCCCUGGAGUUGAUGCUCACCAACCCAAAAGCU
This is a long non-coding RNA of Macaca mulatta (Rhesus monkey), 3380 nucleotides long. The record is from Ensembl. NCBI's taxonomy places the organism in Eukaryota, Metazoa, Chordata, Mammalia, Primates, Cercopithecidae.